This 879-nucleotide ribosomal RNA is filed under the name uncultured bacterium. Its description in RNAcentral is "bacterial SSU rRNA". It matches the Rfam family "Bacterial small subunit ribosomal RNA", at positions 8 to 916 of the family's 1533-position model. The record is from RNAcentral.
AGAGUUUGAUCAUGGCUCAGGAUGAACGCUGGCGGCGUGCCUAACACAUGCAAGUCGAGCGAUUUACUUCGGUAAAGAGCGGCGGACGGGUGAGUAACGCGUGGGUAACCUGCCCUGUACACACGGAUAACAUACCGAAAGGUAUGCUAAUACGAGAUAAUAUACUUUUAUCGCAUGGUAGAAGUAUCAAAGCUUUUGCGGUACAGGAUGGACCCGCGUCUGAUUAGCUAGUUGGUAAGGUAACGGCUUACCAAGGCGACGAUCAGUAGCCGACCUGAGAGGGUGAUCGGCCACAUUGGAACUGAGACACGGUCCAAACUCCUACGGGAGGCAGCAGUGGGGAAUAUUGCACAAUGGGCGAAAGCCUGAUGCAGCAACGCCGCGUGAGCGAUGAAGGCCUUCGGGUCGUAAAGCUCUGUCCUCAAGGAAGAUAAUGACGGUACUUGAGGAGGAAGCCCCGGCUAACUACGUGCCAGCAGCCGCGGUAAUACGUAGGGGGCUAGCGUUAUCCGGAAUUACUGGGCGUAAAGGGUGCGUAGGUGGUUUCUUAAGUCAGAGGUGAAAGGCUACGGCUCAACCGUAGUAAGCCUUUGAAACUGGGAAACUUGAGUGCAGGAGAGGGGAGUGGAAUUCCUAGUGUAGCGGUGAAAUGCGUAGAUAUUAGGAGGAACACCAGUUGCGAAGGCGGCUCUCUGGACUGUAACUGACACUGAGGCACGAAAGCGUGGGGAGCAAACAGGAUUAGAUACCCUGGUAGUCCACGCCGUAAACGAUGAGUACUAGCUGUCGGAGGUUACCCCCUUCGGUGGCGCAGCUAACGCAUUAAGUACUCCGCCUGGGAAGUACGCUCGCAAGAGUGAAACUCAAAGGAAUUGACGG